ACUCAAAGGAAUUGACGGGGGCCCGCACAAGCAGCGGAGCGUGUGGUUUAAUUCGACGCAACACGCAGAACCUUACCCAGAUUUGACAUGCAGCUGCACGCUCCUGAAAGGGAGCCGCCUUCGAGGGGGCUGCACAGGUGCUGCAUGGCUGUCGUCAGCUCGUGUCGUGAGAUGUUGGGUUAAGUCCCGCAACGAGCGCAACCCUUACGACCAGUUACUUGUGUCUGGUUGGACUGCCCUUCGGGGAGGAAGGUGGGGAUGACGUCAAGUCCGCAUGGCCCUUACGUCUGGGGCGACACACACGCUACAAUGCCGUCGAUAGUGCGUUGCGCGCCCGCAAGGGUCAGCGAAUCGCCAAACGGCGGCCCAGUGCAGAUUGGGGGCUGCAACUCGCCCCCAUGAAGGCGGAGUUGCUAGUAACCGCGCAUCAGCAAUGGCGCGGUGAAUACGUACCCGGGCCUUGCACACACCGCCCGU
Molecule: ribosomal RNA, 477 nt
Filed under: uncultured bacterium
Lineage: Bacteria
Description: partial 16S ribosomal RNA
Rfam family: Bacterial small subunit ribosomal RNA
Source: RNAcentral